Molecule: ribosomal RNA, 428 nt
Filed under: uncultured bacterium
Lineage: Bacteria
Description: partial 16S ribosomal RNA
Rfam family: Bacterial small subunit ribosomal RNA
Source: RNAcentral
GUAGGGAAUAUUGCGCAAUGGACGAAAGUCUGACGCAGCGACGCCGCGUGAGUGAUGAAGGCCUUAGGGUCGUAAAGCUCUGUUGAAUGGGAAGAAAAAAAUGACGGUACCAUUCGAGGAAGGACCGGCUAACUUCGUGCCAGCAGCCGCGGUAAUACGAGGGGUCCUAGCGUUGUCCGGAAUCAUUGGGCGUAAAGGGUGUGUAGGUGGCCAUGUAAGUCAGGUGUGAAAGCCUCGGGCUCAACCCGGGAAGUGCACUUGAUACUGCGUGGCUUGAGUACCGAAGAGGGUAGUGGAAUUCCAGGUGUAGUGGUGAAAUACGUAGAUAUCUGGAGGACCACCGGUGGCGGAGGCGGCUACCUGGUCGAGUACUGACACUGAGACACGAAAGCAUGGGGAUCAAACAGGAUUAGAUACCCGGGUAGUCC